Long non-coding RNA from Oncorhynchus tshawytscha (Chinook salmon), 1694 nucleotides. Lineage: Eukaryota; Metazoa; Chordata; Actinopteri; Salmoniformes; Salmonidae. The record is from Ensembl.
CCCCAGCUCUCCAGUAGGAGGUGCUGUAGACGGCCCCAUCUCUCCAGUAGGAGGUGCUGUAGACGGCCCCAUCUCUCCAGUAGGAGGUGCUGUAGACGGCCCCAGCUCUCCAGUAGGAGGUGCUGUAGACGGCCCCAUCUCUCCAGUAGGAGGUGCAGUAGACGGCCCCAUCUCUCCAGUAGGAGGUGCUGUAGACGGCCCCAUCUCUCCAGUAGGAGGUGCUGUAGACGGCCCCAUCUCUCCAGUAGGAGGUGAUGUAGACGGCCCCAUCUCUCCAGUAGGAGGUGCUGUAGACGGCCCAUCUCUCCAGUAGGAGGUGCUGCCCAGAACUAUUGCUUUUUGCUGAUAGUGGAUAUUACCUUGAACAUAUUUUAUACAAGGUUGGUCUAUGUUGAAAAUUGGUUACCAUGAUGACAUAAUCCUGUGGUUGUAACUUUACUGUAAAACAUCUCAUGCCAAAAUCAUGGUGAUUAAUAUGGAGUUGGUCCCCCUUUUGCUACUAUAUCAGCAUCCACUCUUCUGGGACAGCUUCCCGCUAGAUGUUGGAACAUUUCUGCGGGGACUUGCUUCCAUUCAGCCAUAAGAACAUUAGUGAGGUCAGGAACUGGUGUUGGGCGAUUAGACCUGACUCGCAGUUGCCGUUCCAAUUCAUCCCAAAGGUGUUCGAUGGGGUUGGGGUCAGGGCUCUGUGCAGGCCAGUCAAGUUCUUCUCAAAAAACCAUUUCUGUAUGGACCUCGCUUUGUGCACGGGGGCAUUGUCAUGAUGAAACAGGAAAGGGCCUUCCCCAAACCAUUGCCACAAAGCUGGAAGCACAGAAUUAUCUAGUGUGUCAUUGUAUGCUGUAGCGUUAAUAUUUCUCUUCACUGGAACUAAAAGGAGCCUAGCCCGAACCAUGAAAAUCAGCCCCAGAACAUUAUUCAUCCUCCACCAAACUUUACAGUUGACACUAUGCAUUGGGGCAGGUAGUGUUCUCCUGGCAUUAGCCAAGUCCAGAUGGUGAAAGGUGAUUCAUCAUUCAAGAGAACGUGUUUCCACCGCUGAUGUUGCUUCCAUAGGUAGUUUGGCACUCGGUAGUGAGGGUUACAACAGAGGACAGACGCGCUACGGGCUUCAGCACUCCCGUUCUGUGAGCUUGUGUGGUCUACCACUUCCGUUGUUGCUCCUAGACGUUUCCACUUCUCAAUAAGAGCAAUUACAGUUGACCGGGGGCAGCUCUAGCAGGGCAGAUGUUUGACGAACUGACUUGUUGGAAAGGUGGCAUCCUAUGACGCUGCCACGUUGAAAAGUCACUGAGCUCUUCAGUAAAAACCACUCUACUGCUAAUGUUUGUCAAUGGAGAUUGCAUGUCCGUGUGCUCGAUUUUAUACACCUGUUAGCAAAAGGGGUGUUCACAUACUUUUCUAUAUCUAGUGUAGAUGCCACGUCACAAUACGGUGACCACUUACAUUGAAACAACAUUGAUUUAACCAGUUUGUGCCCAGUGGUUAACCUCUGAACUGAAGGUAGAGUUGCAUCAAAGAUGGACUAUUCAGUCUAUUCGCAGUGCAAUGUCAGUCCCCUACAAGGCUGUUACCAUGUUUAUACUUUAAGUCCUUCAGGUCCUCCAAUGUAAAAUACAUAUAAAGACAGUUCAUUUCACACAUAAUUGUCAUUUCUUUUUAUUUCUUGUGUUUGUUUUUUUUUUAUAUGCCAA